This 150-nucleotide ribosomal RNA is filed under the name Fomitiporia aethiopica. Its description in RNAcentral is "5.8S ribosomal RNA". It matches the Rfam family "5.8S ribosomal RNA". Rfam says of the family: 5.8S ribosomal RNA (5.8S rRNA) is a component of the large subunit of the eukaryotic ribosome. It is transcribed by RNA polymerase I as part of the 45S precursor that also contains 18S and 28S rRNA. RNAcentral also lists the same sequence under 5 other names. Lineage: Eukaryota; Fungi; Basidiomycota; Agaricomycetes; Hymenochaetales; Hymenochaetaceae. The record is from RNAcentral.
CUUUCAACAACGGAUCUCUUGGCUCUCGCAUCGAUGAAGAACGCAGCGAAAUGCGAUAAGUAAUGUGAAUUGCAGAAUUCAGUGAAUCAUCGAAUCUUUGAACGCACCUUGCGCCCCUUGGUAUUCCGAGGGGCAUGCCUGUUUGAGUGU